Long non-coding RNA from Grammomys surdaster, 2240 nucleotides. RefSeq lists it as uncharacterized. The transcript is spliced from 2 exons. The record is from RefSeq and is a predicted model, not a curated record. Lineage: Eukaryota; Metazoa; Chordata; Mammalia; Rodentia; Muridae.
GCUAAUCCAUGGUCGAAGUCUUGCUAACACUCAGUGCCAGCCACAGGAUUUCAAGUUCUCUAUGAAGGAUAACCUGAAUAUUCAACUAAUGAUACCAUCUGCAGAUCAAAUUACAUCAUUCCUGUUGAGAACGCCUUCAGUCAAAGGCAAAUUCAAAGUAAGAGACCAAAUAGAAGGCACAAACAUGAGUGUAUAUAACGACAGUCAUCUUCCUUUUUGACAAGCACACCAAAAAUACACACAUUCAACAAAUGGUGAGAGAACUGAGUGUGAGAAGAGUGGAAUUAACCUGUAUCUAUUACCUUUGUACAAAGUCAUCUCCAAAUGCAUCAAAGAUCUCAACAUGAAAAUUACAAAACUUGAAACUAUUAGGAAAAAAAAAACAGGCCAAAUCCUACAAAGAUAAGCACAGAAAGUUAAGCACUUCAGUUGACAAAAGAGACCUGAAAAAUAAAAAGGAGAGGAAGAAUCUGAGUGGAGGGGAAGCCAUGAAUGUGGAUUUGGAAUAGUUUACAGCUAUACAUCUCGGUAACAAUAAUAUGUAGAAUAUAAAAGAAAAUCUAUCAAGGAAACAAGCAAAGCAAAUAAAACUGAGUGCUGGACGUGGAAUGAGACUUCUCCAAAGAAACACAAAUCCAUCAUAGGAAUAUCUUUAAAAGUGCUUGGCAUCCUUAGCAACUAAAAAAAGUGAAAGUUAAAACUAUUUUGCUUUCAUCCUUAUCCCAGGUGCAAAGGCUAAGAUCAAGAAACAACUGACAGCAAAUGAAAGUAGUGAUAGGGAAACAUUAAUUUAUAAGCUUACUCAAAACUACCUAAGAUGUAUUUGCACACAGAUAUAUGCAUGUAAUUAUGCCACAAAGCACACAAUGUGAUAAUGCCCCCCAGCUCCUGCAAGAAUCAGAGAUUAUCUAACCAAAAUCCCAUGGAACACCUCUUUCAAGUUGCUUGUCCAGGAAAGUCCAGGAGAUGCCCAACACAGCAUGAGUUGUUGCUAUUGCCCUUAGGUACUCACAGAAUCUGAAAAGCCCUUUUGAUAGAGAGAUGCUACAAUUCUGAAACAGAAUGUAAAGAAGAAUGAAACAGAAUGUAAAGAAUGAAACAGAAAAGAAAUCCAACUGGAACUGACCUCAAAUCAUCCUUUCUGAGGGCUCGCUCUCACAGAAGCUAUAUAAGCCACCUCAGGAGAGUAAAUCAAUCAACCAAUUGUCCUACCAGAUGUAAAACUUAAAUAAAAUGAAAGUUCACUGAUGUUUUUUAAUUACAGGGAAAAUAGUGACAAACUUUGGUGUCAUAUAUGAAGAUUUGUGCUUCUCUCAGUGUGACCUUGCUGUAUGACUAAGUGUCACUCAUGACUCGAACAGCAGAGGUCCUCAUCAGUUUACCUUGGAUCUUUGUGUGUCAUUUUGUCACAGCAACCCCAGUAGAAUCUGUGUGACAAGUUGCACAGACUGAGGUGAAAACUUCAAAAGAAGGAGACCUCCUGGAACCAGUUGUGGAACUCUUGGCUGGAGCAAAAUAUUGAGCCAUAGUUCUCAUGGCACUUUAUCUGUUUUACUUAUUUUUUUAUUCUUUUUCUUAUUUCCAAGAUGUUCCUGAUAGCCUAGGCUAAGAUCUUAAGCAAGAAAAAUGUGUAAGAAACCAUCCCUUGAGAUGGGGUCACUAACCAUGACCUUAUCUCUGGGAAAACCAGUGUUUUACUUCAUAAAUCAUUUAUAAAAUUACAUAAUAGUAUUGUGAUAGAUAAAAACUUUCCCAAUAAUAAAAUUUCAUAUGGCUGCAUGUGUGUCAUCAGAAGUGGACUUUGAUAUAUGGUAAAGAAAGCCUUAAAUAAAAAGAAUUAAAAUAGUUUAAAUUUAUGCUUUGAAGAUUUACAAAAAAAAUCAGGCACUAGAUAUUAAACAAUGACUAACCAUAAAAAUUUAUUAACCUGCUCUUGUAUAUAUGCCGCUAGCCUUGGAUAACUGUACCACUGAAUACACCCUUUCAGAGUUGUAAUACUAGGCUGAUUCUUAUUGUGCCAAAUAGCAAUGAUGUUAACAGUUCUAUCCAUGAUUACUGAAUACACUUUUUCGGAGUUGUAAUACUUGGAUGAUUUUUGUGCUUUAUUGUGUCAAAUGAGAGUAUCUGUCCUAUUCCUGAUUGUUUCACUGAAUACAUCUUUUCAGAGUUGUAAUACUUGUUUUUUUAUGUAUUAAAACCCUUGCUUGAGAGCUGCAAAAUACACUCACAUUCAUACUGCA